RNAcentral lists this ribosomal RNA (1117 nucleotides) under Listeria monocytogenes. RNAcentral's name for it is "bacterial LSU rRNA". It matches the Rfam family "Bacterial large subunit ribosomal RNA", at positions 1 to 1110 of the family's 2925-position model. Lineage: Bacteria; Bacillati; Bacillota; Bacilli; Caryophanales; Listeriaceae. The record is from RNAcentral.
UUGGUUAAGUUAGAAAGGGCGCACGGUGGAUGCCUUGGCACUAGGAGCCGAAGAAGGACGGGACUAACACCGAUAUGCUUUGGGGAGCUGUACGUAAGCGUUGAUCCAGAGAUUUCCGAAUGGGGGAACCCACUAUCUUUAGUCGGAUAGUAUCCUUACGUGAAUACAUAGCGUGAGGAAGGCAGACCCAGGGAACUGAAACAUCUAAGUACCUGGAGGAAGAGAAAGAAAAAUCGAUUUCCUGAGUAGCGGCGAGCGAAACGGAAAGAGCCCAAACCAAGAAGCUUGCUUCUUGGGGUUGUAGGACACUCUAUACGGAGUUACAAAAGAAAGUUAUAAAUGAAGCGGUCUGGAAAGGCCCGCCAAAGACGGUAACAGCCCGGUAGUUGAAAUAGCUUUCCCUCCAGAGUGGAUCCUGAGUACGGCGGAACACGUGAAAUUCCGUCGGAAUCCGGGAGGACCAUCUCCCAAGGCUAAAUACUCCCUAGUGACCGAUAGUGAACCAGUACCGUGAGGGAAAGGUGAAAAGCACCCCGGAAGGGGAGUGAAACAGUUCCUGAAACCGUGUGCCUACAAGUAGUUAGAGCCCGUUAAUGGGUGAUAGCGUGCCUUUUGUAGAAUGAACCGGCGAGUUACGAUUUGUUGCAAGGUUAAGCGGAAAAAGCGGAGCCGUAGCGAAAGCGAGUCUGAAUAGGGCGCAUAAGUAACAGGUCGUAGACCCGAAACCAGGUGAUCUACCCAUGUCCAGGAUGAAGGUAAGGUAAUACUUACUGGAGGUCCGAACCCACGCACGUUGAAAAGUGCGGGGAUGAGGUGUGGGUAGCGGAGAAAUUCCAAUCGAACUUGGAGAUAGCUGGUUCUCUCCGAAAUAGCUUUAGGGCUAGCCUCGAGGUAAAGAGUCAUGGAGGUAGAGCACUGUUUGGACUAGGGGCCCUUCUCGGGUUACCGAAUUCAGAUAAACUCCGAAUGCCAUGUACUUAUACUCGGGAGUCAGACUGCGAGUGAUAAGAUCCGUAGUCGAAAGGGAAACAGCCCAGACCACCAGUUAAGGUCCCCAAAUAUAUGUUAAGUGGAAAAGGAUGUGGGGUUGCUUAGACAACCAGGAUGUUGGCUUAGA